AGCCUGACGGCUGAACCAGCAACUUGGAGGAAUGUAUAGUGAGAACUAAUUGCACAAUAAUUAUUUGGUGCAAUAUCGACUCUGUUGAAUAAAAUUCUGGGUGGAAUUAUGAUAAUGACAUUGUCUGCCCAUGUGUCUUGACCAAAUUACGUGCCAGCAGUCGCGGUAAUACGUAGAAGACUAGUGUUAUUCAUCUUUAAUAGGUUUAAAGGGUACCUAGACAGUAAAUCAAGCCAUAGAAGGGACUAGUUUGCUAGAGUUACUUAUGAGGGGGUUGAAAUGUACUAGUGGUGUAGAGAUAAAAUUUGUUGAUACCUUUUUCCUAGAGAAGACAUAUGGCACAGAUAUAGGCGAAAGCGUCUCCUUAUGUGAUAACUGACGUUGAGGGACGAAGGCUUCUGGUAACAAACAGGAUUAGAUACCCUGGUAGUCGGAGCAGAAAAUGAUGAGUGUCAUAGAUUAGAUUUUUUUUUAUUCUAUAAAUGAAAGUGUAAGCAUUCCACCUCAAGAGUAAUUUGGCAACAUUGGAACUGAAAUCAUUAGACCGUUUCUGAAACCAGUAGUGAAGUAUGUUGUUUAAUUUGAUAGUCCGCAAAAAACCUUACCAUAACCUUAAUUGCCCGAAUUCUUAAUAGAUAUUGGGUAUCUUUGAUUUAAAUAAAAGCGUUGCACGGCUGUCUUCAGUUAAUGUCGUGAGACUCUGGUUAGUUCCAUAAAAUUAACGUAAACCCUUACUUUAUUUUUACAUAAAGUUGUUCCCCACUAGAUUGGAUAUGAUAACAGGGAUCAAGACAAGUCAUCAUGGCCUA
This 809-nucleotide ribosomal RNA is filed under the name Gilbertaria squalescens. RNAcentral describes it as "SSU rRNA". It matches the Rfam family "Bacterial small subunit ribosomal RNA", at positions 373 to 1202 of the family's 1533-position model. The record is from RNAcentral. Lineage: Eukaryota; Fungi; Ascomycota; Lecanoromycetes; Lecanorales; Sphaerophoraceae.